Long non-coding RNA from Mus musculus (house mouse), 5869 nucleotides. RefSeq annotates it as predicted gene, 36203. The transcript has 9 exons. Lineage: Eukaryota; Metazoa; Chordata; Mammalia; Rodentia; Muridae. The record is from RefSeq and is a predicted model, not a curated record.
CGCUGUUUUUGAUUCGUUAUGAAACUAGAAUUUAAUCUGUGCAUAAAGAAUACCUCAUGUAGUCCUUGUAAUCUGUGAAGAACUGUAAUCCACCUGCUUUACACAUGAGAAGGUGGACUUGUGUAGAGUGUGUCCCCUGACUGUGGCUAGGCCACCGUGGGUUUGCCAAUGGGAAGAAUGGCUAUUGCCAGUCAUGUUUCCAGUUGGGUCAGUAUGGAUGAUUUUACACACCUGUUUUCUUUGAUAUUACCUCUUUAUAUGUCUAUGAGCCAUUAUAAAUUCACAGGCAAUUAAAUCUUGUUAAAAAUACAGCCCAAGUAGCCCACACUGUCCUCCUUGUGGCUCCUUCUCAAGGGCAGUCAUUGGUGGACAAGAUUCCUCUUGACUGUCCCCCUCCCUGUUUUCACUCUUUCCCCUUUAUCUCACAUUACCUUUUGUUUUGUUUCCCCUAAUCUAAAACCUGAUUCUGUUCCCACUGUAUCACCAGUUGUCCAUCCUGAGACUCCAGUGGAUCCCUGACAUACGCCAAGACUCUCUCUCUGAAGAAACACAGCGCAGCGCCUGAUACUCAGCCUAGCACAGCAUUGGGUGACGCCCGUGUGAGCACCUGCUCUGGUCUCUCAAGCUCUAGUCCUUCCAGGCACAUUCAGAGUGUACCCAGAGCUCUGUCUCACAACUGUGAGGAGGGCGGUGAUAGUAGCUAAAUGGGCUCAAACAUUCUGAAGGUCCUGUUGACAUCACACCAUUCCGUCAGAACCUGCUCUCUAGUCUGUUAAAGAAAUGCACCCGAGGAACAGGCCAUGGGCAUCCAGGGUUCAGAACUUACACCUAGAGACUGAUCAUACAUUACUUUCUCCAAAUGAUCUUCUUGUGAGAACAACCUACAUAACCAGUUCAGUACCCCAGGGAGGAGGAGAUUGGUAAGUCACCAGCUUUACUUGGGUUUUUCAUAUGGACAAGUUCAUGCUCAUGUGUCUGUAUUCCUUCUGUGCGGCUGUAUGUCUUGUGUGUGUGCUGUGAUCUUUAUUAAGAUGUACACAAUUCUAUGUCAAGGCUCCAUCGUGGUUCUCAAAGGAUUCUGUUUCCCCAACAUCCCUGACAACCAUUAAUUUCAUCUGUCUAUAAAAGUGAGGACAUGACUGCUCCAAGAUCCAGGUCUGUCAGAGUCUGUGCUGUGAAAACUGAGAUGGAAAAGAAGAGUAUUCUGCCCUCUGGAGAAACAGAUCUACUUCUUUUCAAUCCCUCUCCCCCUUAUUCCCCCACUCAGGCCCCAGUGCUGGCUCCACAGGGAAGGGCAGCUGCCCCAGAACCCAUGCACCCUUGGCUCUGCCAGCACAGGCUCUCCAGGGGUCGGAGACAGGUGCACCCGGAGAUCAGAGCCUGGCAGCUGGGACACAGAGCAGGUGGGUAGGAACCCCUGAUGCCUCCAUUUUACCCCUCUAGGCCCAUGGCACCCCAGAUGACCAAGGCAACCAACCUCUCCAGUAUUGGCCAUUUUCUUUGGCCAAUCUCUAUAACUGGAAAACUCAUAACUCCUCCUUCUCUGAAAACCCCCAGGCUUUGACUAAUCUUUUGGAUUCUAUUCUCUUCUCUCACCAACUGACUGCCAACAGUUGCUUCAAACUCUCUUCACAACGGAGGAGAGGCAACAGAUCCUCCUUGAAGCUAGGAAGAAUGUUACCCAGACCAGAUGGGAGACCUUCCCUUCUGCCCAAUGAGAUAGAUACUGGGUUUUCCCUUACUAGGCCUUCGUGGAACUACAACUCCCCUGAAGGUAGGGAGCACCUGAGGGUCUACUGCCAGAUUCUAAUGGUGGGUCUCUGAGGGGCAGCACGAUGCCCCACCAAUUUGGCCAAGGUAAGGGAAAUGGUCCAGGGCUCGACAGAAUCUCCCUCAGCAUUCCUUGAGUACAUUGAUGGAGGUGUUCCACCCUAUGACCUUACAGCAGAAGAAUAUAAGGCUACUGUUACUGUAGCCUUUAUAGAUCAGCCAACCAAGGAUAUUAAGAGGAAGUUGCAGAAGUUAGAAGGAUUACAAGAUAAGUCAUUGAGGGAACUUGUGCAGGUAGCCGAGAAAGUGUUUUAUAACAGGGAGACAGAGGAGGAAAAAGAAGAGAGAAGGCAGGAAGAACAGGAGGCUAGGGAGCUAAAAAGAGACAUGAGACAAGAAAGAAAUCUUCAUAGAAUCCUGGCCACCAUAGUGAAAGAAGCUAGAGAGCCUCAGGAAUCUAGUAAGAUAGAACAUGGCAACAGAAGAGAACCCCUGGCUAAAGACCAGUGUGCAUACUGCAAAGGAAAAGGGCAUUGGGCAAGAGAAUAUCCCAAAAAACCAAAUUAAAGAGGAGCCCCACAACUCAAAGUAUUGGCGGUACAGGAAGAAGAGAGUGAUUAGUGGGGAUGGGGUUCUGACCCCCUCCCCAAACCUAGGGUAACUCUCAGAGUGGAAGGGAAACCCACCUGUUUCUUGGUAGACACAGGAGCACAACACUCAGUCUUGCUAUAAACUGAUGGACCCUUGUUCCCCAAAAGAUCUUGGGUCCAAGGGGCUACUGGGAGUAAACAAUAUCCAUGGACUACCCAAAGAACAGUGGACCUAGGCAUGGGCUGGGUAUCCCACUAAUUCCUUGUCAUACCAGAAUACCCCUACCUACUGUUGGGACAAGAUCUUCUCACCAAAUUGGGGGUCCAAAUCCACUUCCUCCCCAAAGAGCCUGUAGUUAAAGGACAGAAAGGAGAGCCCAUACAAGUCUUGACUGAUAAACUAGAAGAUGAGUAUAAACUCUAUGAGCACAUAAGACCCCAAAAUAAAGAAAUGAAAAACUGGCUCCACAAGUUCCUGGAAGCCUGGGCAGAGAUGGCAGGCAUGGGGAGGGCCAAGUAUCAGUCUCCUGUCCAUGUAGAACUUAAAGCUCAGGCCUCCCCCAUAGCAGUCUGGCAGUACCCUAUGCCCAAGGAAGCUUGAGAUGGGAUAAGACCUCAUAUCCAGUGCCUCCUCCAGAUGGACAUUCUGAGGAAGUGUUCAUCUGCUUGGAAUACUCCUCUCCUUCCUGUGUGAAAACCAGGGACUGAUGACUACCUUCCCAUUCAGGAUCUGAGAGGUAAAUAAACAGGUAGCUGACUUACAUCCAACAGUCCCCAAUCCCUACAGUCUCUUGAGCACCCUGUCACCAGAACAGGUUUGGUACAUGGUAUUAGAUCUCAAGGAUGCUUUCUUCUGUCUAACCCUGUCCCCCAACCCCCGAGCCAAGAGUACUUCGCCUUCGAGUGGAAAGAUCCUGAGUCGGGAACAACUGGACAGCUGGCAUGAACCUGCCUGCCUCAAGGAUUUAAGAACUCUCCUACCAUCUUUGAUGAAGCCUUACAUCAAGAUUUGGCUACCUUUAGAGCCCCCAGCCUGCAGGUAACCCUCUUGUAGUAUGUGGACGACCUUCUGCUGGCUGCAUCCAGCAGAGAACUGUGCCUACAAGGAACCAGACACCUGCUCGCUGAGCUUGGGAAAUUGGGGUAUUGAGCGUCGUCCAAGAAAGCCCAGAUUUGCCAGCAACAGGUCAGUUACUUGGGUUACCUAAUAAAAGAGGGACAACGGUGGCUCUCUGAAGCUAGAAAAGAGACUGUGAUUCAUAUUCCCCCACCGACCAGUUCAAGACAAAUUAGAGAGUUCCUGGGCACUUGGGGCUUUUGUAGACUGUGGAUUCCAGGUUUUGCUGAAUUAGCUGCCCCACUUUAUCCCCUCACAAGAGAUAAACAUCCCUUUGUAUGGGGAAAUAAAGAACAACAGGCCUUUGAUGCCAUUAAGACUGCCCUAAUGUCGGCCCCAGCUUUGUGCCUCCUGGAUGUGACUAAGCCCUUCCAUCUGUUUGUGGCUGAGAACAAAGGUAUUGCCAAAGGGGUUCUUACUCAGAGAUUGGGGUCCUGAAAAAGACCUUUGGUUUACCUAUCUAAAAAAUUAGACCCUGUGGCUGCAGGAUGGCCUGCUUGUCUGCGCAUAGUGGCUGCUGUGGUGUUACUGGUCAAGGAUGCAGAUAAAUUGACUCUGGGGCAGAACUUGGUGAUCUCAGUGAUGCAUAUCCUAGAAAGUGUGGUUCAUCAGUCCCUGAUUGAUGGCUAAUGCUUGCAUGACACAUUAUCAGACUCUGCUGCUCAACUCUGAUAGAAUAACAUUCACUUAGCCUGCCAGUCUGAACCCUGCCACACUGCUACCAGAUCCAGACUUGGAGCCUCCCAUCCAUGACCGUAAACAGGCACUAGCCGAGACCCACGGCUGGCAUAAAGAUCUGUCAGACCAGCCUCUCCAGAUGCUGAAAUCACAUGGUUCACAGAUGGGAGCAGUUUUGUAGAGGGAGGACAGCGAAAUGCAGGAGCAGCAGUGGUUGAUGGGCAUAACAUUGUAUGGGCACAGGCCUUGCCUGAAGGGACGUUCACCCAGAAGGCUGAACUUGUUGUACUCACAAAAGCAUUAAAAUUGGCCGAGGACAAGAAGGUCAAUAUCUACACUGACAGCAGGUAUGCCUUCACCACUGCACAUGUGCAUGGCACGAUCUACCAGCAGCGAGGCCUCCUGACUUCAGGGGGCAAAGAAAUUAAAAAUAAGCCUGAAAUCUUGGCACUGCUUAAAGCUCUGAUGAAACCUGCAAAAGUCGGAGACUCAGUCUACGUGAGGCAGCAUCGAGCACAGACAUUUGAGCCUCACUGGAAAGGACCAUACCUAGUGCUGCUGACCACCCCAACAGCCGGCAAGGUGGAUGGAAUAGCUGCCUGGAUCUACGCAUCCCACGUGAAGACAGCUACCCUGGUAGCUUUCACUGAGGGUCUUUAUCACAGCAACAGAAAGCAAACUGGGAUGGCUGACUGGGUUUCAGGAAGAAGCCACAGGUCAAUGUUGGCAGACGUGUUGGAGCAGUAGGGCCAAGGAGACAGCAUCCUGUCUGAUCCUCCCGGUGAAUCACCUUCACGGUUUCCUGUUGGUCCUGGGACAGAGGGGGAGGAAAUCUGUUCCUCCCCCAACCCCCAUCCCCAACCAUGGACUCUGAGUACUAGAAGUUCAUAAAUCAACAGUGCCACCCCUUGUGAAGACCUGCGUCCCACUCUGUGUGCUAGCAAGCCAUAUAUGUCCACGGAUGUACUCCUGUCUCACCUGGUCACGCUUGGAAAUUUUACACAUUUGCAUAUUUGCACUGUUGCUUGAAUGACUAUGAGGGACUCCAGAGCAUAAAGAUCUUCAGUGGUGGCAAAUUUUCAGGAUGUAAGGCCUGGGCUUCAACGAGCCACCACUCAUCAGAGCUUCGUGGGUCAGGAUGGUGGUACCUUGCCGUAAUCCCAGCUCUGAGGAACGGAGUCAUAAGAGUCUUUGGGCCAAUCUGGGCUACAUAGCAAGACGCCAACAGUAUCAACAACAAAGGAGUGCAUGGCCCAAUAGCAUCUGCAGCUGUAGAAUGCAAGGCAGUCUGAGAAAUGAAAGUCUCCCCUCAAAGCUACAAUGUUGAGAGUUGGAUUGAAUCCAAGGAUGUAAAAGCUGCGGAGAUGGAGGCUCCCUCUUCCUUUGGAGGGCUCUUUUCCCCUCUUGUCUAUUAUGCCCUGAGGAAGAGGCUCACAGCUUGUCAAUUUCUCUGCCUUGGGACAGUUCGUGUGCAUUGCUGUGGGUUUCCGAAGAUCACUUAAUUGGAACACUAUGGAUUCUGGUUAUUGUACACGUGUUGUCAUGCAGCCACCAGUGACAAGUGAGACACACAGCAUGCCACCACCUCACACAAGGUCCCUGACUAUUUCUGCAAUCCUGCUCUUAUCCUUGGGCCCGACAGUCAGGGACCUGUUCUCCAUCACACGGUUCUGUCUUUUAUAAAAUUUCAUAUAAACGACACCAAGCAACAUGU